Molecule: long non-coding RNA, 2119 nt
Organism: Monomorium pharaonis (pharaoh ant)
Lineage: Eukaryota; Metazoa; Arthropoda; Insecta; Hymenoptera; Formicidae
Exons: 2
Source: RefSeq, a predicted model, not a curated record
UCGGCGCGUUGACUAGCGCGCUUGUCAGUACCCUGAAAGCGCUUGCACGCUGCAUUUACAGCGUAAUCGCGACUGCACAGUCGCAUCGUGGUAUUUUACGAACUGCAUCGUGCUGCGUAUCCUCGUACCCUCGUUUCAUCGUUGCUAUGUAUCGGUGAUGUAGACUCGUUAAUAGACGUGUUGAGGGUGUCUGAGCUUGAAGAAGGGGUAGGCGCAAAGAGUAGUGCCGGAUCUCGUUAGAGGGUCGACAAUCAAAUCUGGGAUCGUGACACGCGAGGAAUGACAAAAAUCAAUAAAAGAAACAGAUUUUGUGUUUCAGACAUUAUUUAAAAACGAGACACCAGUGUUGCCACGAGAAAAUCAACCCUAAUCUCCGUCAAACGGUGCAAUAAAAGGACGACUUGAAAUAUACUGAAUCAGCUCGUGCUAAUCGGGCGCUACUCGAUGUUUGAGAAAGUCUCGACAUGACACGAAGCUAAACAAAGUGUAAGGAGAUCCUGCCGCUGUCAGCAUGUGGACGAAUCACUUGAUAGUGGGUAAGUGUGCUCGCGUCCUCGAUGAGCUUCCCAUUUAAUCCCGAAAGGAUCUUCUAUAUUUUAAGAAGGUAGCAUCGUCGAACUGAAAUAGGCUUCUCUCUUACACAAAUGUCAAUCACAUUCAAUGUCUAAUUUUUAUACAUUUUGAAAUUAAAACAACUGUUAUUCUAUUAUCCUGUCACUAGAAUAAAGAAAUCUAUAUAUUCAAAGGGAUAUCUGCCUUUUAAACUAGUUUUAAGCAAAAAUGUUAAAUUUCUAAUAAGUAAUUCUAAUCGUAAUUAUUUACAAAAGAUCAAUAAUUUGAAAAUUAUGUUAUUCGGUCACGAUCUUAUGCAAUUAUUAUGAGUCUUAUUACGAUCUAGAAAUCAUAGGUGUUAUAUAUAUUAGAUCUAUCAACACGCGUAUGGCCGCUGCUUCCGUGCUGUUAAGUACGUGGACAAGUACGUACGUAAGGUUCAUGAAAAAGAACGCAUUUGUGAAAUAUAGAGAGACCUGCGAAAUAGAAUUACACAGAUUAAUAUUAAUAUUUAUUAUACAUUAUUUCUUAUAGUAAUAAGAAUUAUCAACAGAAAUUAAGUCAUUUUUAGAAAUUAUAUCACAAAUAUGAGUCCUCUACAUUUCAAGUCAAAUGCGGAGGUAUUUUCAAAAAAAGUGCGCCAGGCAUCUCCAAAUUAUUUUGGUUAACUAAUAUAGACAAUUGUUGCUGAAUGAUACAUUUAUGAAAAAACUGGUUUUGCACGGCAAAUUAUAAUUAUAAUAUAAUUAUGAGUAAUGCAUUUAUUUUCGAUAUUGAAAUAGUAUUGUAUGUACUUUUAUAUGUACCGUGUAGAAGUUAUCCUUUGGCCUUUAACAUCGUUACGUAUUAAAAUAUCAAAGAUAUAUAUAAGGUGUAAAAAACUAAAAAACCUGAAGUAAUUAAGACAAAGUUGAAUUAUAACCUACGUCAUAUUCUAAAUAUACGCACGCAUUAUCUUUAACUGAAGCGAGAUUUUAAUUAAACGUUCAAGAUACUGUGUAUAUUUCUAACUCUUUCCAAGUUAUUUCUUCAAGACAAACGUUGUCAAUUGUUCUACAAGCACAUAAUAUAACACAUGUCUCAAGGUUCUUUUAAAACUGCACGACACCAAGUUUGAUUUCCCAGUCAUGUCCCAGAUAUGGCCAUUUACUGUUUUAUACUUCUCUAUACUGUAAGCCUUUUUUAAACACGUGUUUAUACCGCAUGUAUGUCACAUUUAUAUCCCAUACUCUUUCAUCCGUCACCAAUUCCUUACUAUAUACCUCAUAAUCUGUAAGAGUGAAAGCGCAGCAAGAUUAGAUUCAUCCAGUGAACCGAAAAAUCUGGACUUGACUGCCGCACGGUCCCUCUUUGAUCAAUCGAGUGAUAGCAUCAUUAGCUAGCACCACUAUCAGCGGUCCCCAACAUCGUUAAUACCGGUAUGCUAGAACCGCGCUAUAGAGAUAGUAGCGGUUGUAAUAGUAGUCGCAGCCACCGUAGCCGUUGUAUAAUAGCGCUAAUUUUUUCGCUUGCGUUAUCACUAAUCACACCAAGUUAUUUAAGCUAGCAACCUGCGCACAUUGCCAAA